Molecule: RNA transcript, 3071 nt
Organism: Mesocricetus auratus (golden hamster)
Lineage: Eukaryota; Metazoa; Chordata; Mammalia; Rodentia; Cricetidae
Gene name: 28S ribosomal protein S18a, mitochondrial-like
Exons: 7
Source: RefSeq, a predicted model, not a curated record
GGCGAGGUCAGGCGAGUUCCCAGGAUGGCGUCCUUCAGGGCUCUGGUGUCAGGCUGCGGGCGUCAGCUGCAAGGGUUCCUGUCAGGCCCCGCCGCGACCGGAUGGUCGUGGCUUCCAGCCCGCGGCUUGAGAGAAGUGGUGGAGAUCCAAGAAGGGAAGACAACUGUGAUUGAAGGCCGAAUCACAGAAACUCCCCAGGCAACUCCAAACCCCCCUAACCCCUCAGGCCAGUGCCCCAUCUGCCGUUGGAACCUGAAGCACAAAUAUAACUAUGAGGAUGUGUUGCUGCUCAGGCAAUUCAUCCGACCUCAUGGAGGCAUGCUGCCCCGGACUGUCACAGGCUUGUGCCUGGAGGAGCACCGAAAGGUCGAGGAGUGUGUGAAGAUGGCGCACCGAGCAGGUCUAUUCCCAGACCACAGGCCACGGCUUCCAGAAGGGUCGUCAGCAAAGAAGAAACCCAUGCUCAACCGCUUGAGGAACCACCGAGUUUAAUUGGGGGUAUUUACAAGAAUCCAGGCAAGUCACGGGCAGCCACUGUAAUGGAAAUGUCCAUCUCCCGGCACCCACCAAGCUCCCACACUUCUUACACUGACAGAACUGCCCACCAUCCAUCACUGAAAUGGGGAUAAAGGAAUUAGAUACUCUUGGCAUUCAUAUGGGUUUUCCACUCCAUGAACGGACUGAUGUCUUUUAAAGGAACUAUGCCGACUAAAGGAUCUGCCACACUGAACACACUGAUACGGUUUCUCUCCAGUGUGUCGUCUUUCAUGUGAUCGAAGGUAAGAGCGAUGUGUGAAAGUUUUACCACAUUCUUUACAUUCAUAGGGUUUCUCUCCAGUGUGGCUUCUUUCAUGAAAUCGAAGAUAAUUGUAACUUGAAAAGGCUUUGCCACAGUGUUUACAUUCGUAGGGUUUCUCUCCGGUGUGCGUUCUCUCGUGCAAUCGAAGCGAAGACUGACAUCUGAAGGCUUUCCCACACAGCUUACACUCAUAGGGCUUUUCUCCUGUGUGCGUUCUCUCGUGCACUUGAAGUAGGGAGGGGUAAAUGAAGGACUUCCCACACUGCUUACACUCAUACAACGUCUCUCCACCAUGAGUGAUUUUAUGUCUAUGAUAGGAAGCCUGACACUUGAAGGCUUUCCCACACUCUUGGCAUUCAUAGGGUUUUUCUCCUGUAUGAAUUUUUUCAUGUAACUUCAGAGAAGUAAGCCACCUAAAGGCUUUCCCACAUUCUUUACACUCAUAGGGCUUUUCUCCAGUAUGAAUUCUUUUAUGUAACUUAAGGGUCCUGUGACUUCUAAAGAAUUUCCCACAUUGUUUGCAUUCAUAGGGCUUUUCUCCAGUGUGAAUCCUUUCAUGUAACUUGAGGGCCCUGCUAUAUCUGAAGGUUUUCCCACAGUUUACACUCACAGGGUCUUUCCUCGGUGUGAAUUCUUUCGUGUAACUGGAGGGCACUGAGAUACGUGAAGGCUCUGCCACACUGCUUACACUCGUAGGGCUUCUCUCCAGUGUGAAUCCUCUCGUGCAAAUGGAGGGCGCUGAGGCCUCUGAAGGCUUUCCCACAGUCUUUACACUCAUAGGGUUUCUCUCCAGUGUGAAUUCUUUCAUGCAAUUGGAGGGCACUGGGAUACCUAAAGGCCUUACCACACUCUUGACAGUUUUUUCCCAGUAUGAUUUUUCUCUUGUUUUUGAAGGGAACUGGAAGUUUUAUCACACUGAUUACCAUCAUCAUCAUUUUCAUCAGUCUGGCUUCCUCCAACUUCCUUGUAGUCAUAGCUGUGAUGUCCAUUGUAAGUCAGGUGAUACAGUCCAAAGGUCUUUAGACACACUUCACACACAGAAGGCCCACUCGAAGUCGGAGUCUCCGUGUGUCCUUCAACCCUUGUAAGAAAAUCAGAGUCCUGUGGCUUCUGUUCAUACGCCUCAUUUUCAUACUGUGUGCAUUCAGAGUGAGAGACGAUGUGCCUUAGAUUUAUUUCAGGUUCUUCAUAAUGUUCUCCAACUGCCUGGUCGUCCCAUUCAUAUCCUAUGGCAGUGAGGUUCCGGCAGGUCUCCAGCAUCACAUCUCCAUAGAGACUCCUCUGAGAAGAAUCCAGCAGAUCCCACUCUUCCUGGGUGAAGUUCACAGCCAGAUCCUCAAAGCUCACCAGAUCCUGAUCCGGCCUGGACAGUCCAACAAUGGCCGUCUCCAUGAUGCAGAGGCUCCAACCUGGUGCCAAAGGCCUGGGGCACACCUGGACAGCUUCUGGUCUCCAGUCCCCAGUGGAGGGUGGCUGUGGCGGUGAUGGCUGUGGCGGCGGCGGCGGGACAGUGGCACCACAAGAUGUGAAGGCGGGCAGGAACGCAGCACUGCUUCUUCUGUGGACUCCUCAGUGCCAAGGCUACUUUCAAAGAGCCACCCGCUAUACAGCAGGCUCUUCUCGCCUGUCAACCCUUCCUGAGCUUCCCAGGCAGACCUCUGAUAAAAGCAGCAAAGGAAAUCCACUGAGCAGUCUUUUCUAGAACUGUUUCUGGGACACCAUUCUUAAGAAAUACUUUGGACAAAGACUGAGAAAAUUUCACAAAAUUAACUCAGAGUUACUCCUGGACCUAAAUGUGACUCGCCAAGUCCAGAACGCCCAGACCCCAGAGCAGAGCGCACAACAGUAAGUGCGACACCCAAUGGCCCCAAUAAAGAGCUGAACAGCCAAUAGCCAGGCAAGAGCAAAAGAACAAGGAGGGGAUGAUGUCAGGACCAGCCACCCAGCCAGCCGCAGAGUAAGAAGGAAAGUCAUACAGAAGUAAGAAAAGGGAAAUGUGCCAGGCGUUGGUGGCACAUGCCUUUAAUCCCAAACUCGGGAGGCAGAAGCAGGCGGAUCUGAGUUCCAGGACAGCCUGGGUUACAGAGCGAGUGCCCGGACAGCCAGGGCUACACAGAGAAAUCCUGUCUCAGAAAAAAAAAAAAAAGGGAAAAUGCCAGAGGUAAAAGAUAGUCGGAUAUUUUAAGUUACAAACAGCUGGCAAGCAUCAAGCCAAGCUAAGACUGGGCAUUCAUAAUAAAGAAUAGGCCUCUGUGUGCGAUUUAUUGGGGAG